GAUGAACGCUAGCGGCAGGCUUAAUACAUGCAAGUCGAGGGGGCAGCAAUGUCACCGGCGAACGGGUGCGUAACACGUAUGCAACCUACCUAUAUCAGGGGGAUAGCCCGAGGAAACUCGGAUUAAUACCGCAUAACAUUAGAAUCGGCAUCGAUUUUAAUUGAAAGAUUUAUUGGAUAUAGAUGGGCAUGCGUAGGAUUAGCUAGUUGGUAAGGUAAGGGCUUACCAAGGCUACGAUCCUUAGGGGCUCUGAGAGGAGUAUCCCCCACACUGGCACUGAGAUACGGGCCAGACUCCUACGGGAGGCAGCAGUAGGGAAUAUUGGGCAAUGGGCGAAAGCCUGACCCAGCCAUGCCGCGUGCAGGAAGACGGCCCUCUGGGUUGUAAACUGCUUUUGAGUGGGAGGAAAGGUAUGCUUGCGAGCGUAAUUGACGGUACCAUUAGAAUAAGCCACGGCUAACUACGUGCCAGCAGCCGCCGCCG
Molecule: ribosomal RNA, 483 nt
Filed under: uncultured bacterium
Lineage: Bacteria
Description: partial 16S ribosomal RNA
Rfam family: Bacterial small subunit ribosomal RNA
Source: RNAcentral